Molecule: ribosomal RNA, 253 nt
Filed under: uncultured bacterium
Lineage: Bacteria
Description: partial 16S ribosomal RNA
Rfam family: Bacterial small subunit ribosomal RNA
Source: RNAcentral
UACGUAGGUGGCAAGCGUUGUCCGGAUUUACUGGGCGUAAAGGGAGCGUAGGUGGAUAUUUAAGUGGGAUGUGAAAUACUCGGGCUUAACCUGAGUGCUGCAUUCCAAACUGGAUAUCUAGAGUGCAGGAGAGGAAAGUAGAAUUCCUAGUGUAGCGGUGAAAUGCGUAGAGAUUAGGAAGAAUACCAGUGGCGAAGGCGACUUUCUGGACUGUAACUGACACUGAGGCUCGAAAGCGUGGGGAGCGAACAGG